AGAUGGAAUAUCGCUCUGUAGCCCAGGCAAGAGUGCAAUGGUGUGAUCUUGGUUCACUGCAAUCUACGCCUCCCAGGUUCAAGUGAUUCUCCUGCCUCAGCCUCCCAAGUAGCUGGGAUCACAGGUGGAUUACACACCUGGCUAUCAGAUGUGCCCUGAUUCCCCUUCACCUUCAAUUGUAUGUUUCCUGAGGAUUACACAGCCAUGCAGAACUGUUUUGAGACAAGCAGCAUAGGCUUCUGUUCUGCCGUCUUGCUCCACCCUGCCAAGAUAUUAUUUCAGAAGAGUCAAAGACUAAAAGGCGGGCCACGCGCGGUGGCUCAAGCCUAUAAUCCCAGCACUUUGGGAGGCCGAGGCGGGUGGAUCACGAGGUCAAGAGAUCGAGACCAUCCUGGUCAACAUGGUGAGACACCAUCUCUACUAAAAAUACAAAAAAUUAGCUGGGCACUUUACGAAAGAAGACAUAUAUGA
RNAcentral lists this long non-coding RNA (471 nucleotides) under Callithrix jacchus (white-tufted-ear marmoset). RNAcentral describes it as "lncRNA (ENSCJAG00000052601.2)". The record is from RNAcentral. Lineage: Eukaryota; Metazoa; Chordata; Mammalia; Primates; Cebidae.